Molecule: ribosomal RNA, 1439 nt
Filed under: uncultured organism
Description: 16S ribosomal RNA
Rfam family: Bacterial small subunit ribosomal RNA
Source: RNAcentral
CUCAUGAUGAACGCUAGCGACAGGCUUAACACAUGCAAGUCGAGGGGUAACAGGGUGUAGCAAUACACCGCUGACGACCGGCGCACGGGUGAGUAACGCAUAUGCAACCUGCCUUUGACAGAGGGAUAGCCCAUGGAAACGUGGAUUAAUACCUCAUAGUCUCUUUUUUCUUCCUGGGAAAUAGAGUAAAACGUCAGUGGUCAAAGAUGGGCAUGCGUCCUAUUAGGCAGUUGGCGGGGUAACGGCCCACCAAACCGAUGAUAGGUAGGGGUUCUGAGAGGAAGGUCCCCCACACUGGUACUGAGACACGGACCAGACUCCUACGGGAGGCAGCAGUGAGGAAUAUUGGUCAAUGGUCGAGAGACUGAACCAGCCAAGUCACGUGAGGGAAGACUGCCCUAUGGGUUGUAAACCUCUUUUCUACUGGGAGAAUAAGCCUUAUGUAUAAGGUGAUGACAGUACAGUAGGAAUAAGCAUCGGCUAACUCCGUGCCAGCAGCCGCGGUAAUACGGAGGAUGCGAGCGUUAUCCGGAUUUAUUGGGUUUAAAGGGUGCGUAGGCGGCUUUAUAAGUUAGUGGUAAAAUUUCGGAGCUUCACUCCGGUCCGCCAUUAAAACUGUAGAGCUAGAGAAUGGACGAGGUAGGCGGAAUAAGUUAAGUAGCGGUGAAAUGCAUAGAUAUAACUUAGAACUCCGAUAGCGAAGGCAGCUUACCAGACCAUAACUGACGCUGAUGCACGAGAGCGUGGGUAGCGAACAGGAUUAGAUACCCUGGUAGUCCACGCCGUAAACGAUGCUUCACCCGGCCCUUAGCGAUAAGACAGUUAGGGGGUAAUUUGAAAGAUUUAAGUGAGCCACCUGGGGAGUACGUCCGCAACCAAGAAACCUAAAAGAAAUUGACGGGGGCCCGCCCAAGCGGAGGAACAUGUGGUUUAAUUCGAUGAUACGCGAGGAACCUUACCUGGGUUUAAAUGUAUAUUGCAUAAUCUGGAAACAGUUUUUCUCUUCGGAGCUAUAUACAAGGUGCUGCAUGGUUGUCGUCAGCUCGUGCCGUGAGGUGUCGGGUUAAGUCCCAUAACGAGCGCAACCCUUACCGUUAGUUGCUAGCAUGUAAUGAUGAGCACUCUAGCGGGACUGCCACCGUAAGGUGAGAGGAAGGGGGGGAUGACGUCAAAUCAGCACGGCCCUUACAUCCAGGGCGACACACGUGUUACAAUGGCCAUAACAGCGGGUAGCUACCGGGUGACCGGAUGCAAAUCUCGAAAAUUGGUCUAAGUUCGGAUUGGAGUCUGCAACCCGACUCCAUGAAGUUGGAUUCGCUAGUAAUCGCGCAUCAGCCAUGGCGCGGUGAAUACGUUCCCGGGCCUUGUACACACCGCCCGUCAAGCCAUGGAAGCUGGGAGUACAUGAAGUCCGUAACCGCGAGGAUCGGCCUAGGGUA